UGCUAAGAAUUUAUUGAAAGCUAAGUGGGCCCAUAUUCAAACAAGUGUUGCACAAGUGCACAAACAUGGGUUCAUGGGUGAACUUUUUUUAAAGCCAGCUCAAAAGUGAGUUUAUUUUAGUUACUUUAUCCAUAACCGCUCAUCUAAAUAUGAUACAGGAAAUUGUUUUUGAGGAAAAUGAUAAUUUAAAAAAGCAACUUGUAUCCCUAUUGUCCACUCAUUCCAUAAGGGCCUGAAAUCCGACUCGUUAGAUGAUUUUUGCUAUCGGACAAAUCAUUAAUUUAAUCCAUUGUCAGUACAUGCCGAAACUCUCAGACUGAAAGCUUUCAAAUUGACAUUAUGAGGGAUUUCCACACACCUACAGGCUAACUUCCACUAACUGAGUCAACUGUGCAUCAAGACUUUUGGUGCAACGAUGAGUCCAAACUCCGCAGAAAGUUUACUCUUUUUACAGAAUCUUUCAAGCGUGAAGUUUCAAGAUGUGUAUGGAUUAACAGAGACACUCUCCCACAGCCUGCACCAAACUGGAUUAAGGAUACAGUUUAUUUUUGAGUGCUUCAUCUACAACUAUGAAGGGGAUUCAUGCAGAGCCAGUUGAGGAUGUGGCUGUGAGGAGACCAAAGCCAUCAGCCAGCAGUGUCUGAAACUCAACACUCUAUCAAACAUACGCAGGACCCCGGCCUGACACAUUAUUGUCUCUUGGUGAAGGAGUGAAGAGCCUCAGACUGUAACCACUGAUUUCCUCGGUGCUGCAUGGCCUGUCUGAGAUCUCCAUGGUGGACUGUAGGUUCGGACCUGUGCCAUGAGGUUCACCCCGGUCAUACCAUGUCAGUGCAGAAAGCUACAUGAUAACUACAAACCAGGAAACAUUGGGCUCCACUUCUCAGCUGUACAUUUUAGGAGCUUACCAAUGGUAAAUAAUAAUAAUAAUAAAAAAAAAAAAACUCAGACAUGUGCUAUCAAGUUAUUAAAUGUUAGUUAAAUCUUAGUGUCACAAAUGUUAAA
Thalassophryne amazonica is the source of this 1005-nucleotide long non-coding RNA. RefSeq lists it as uncharacterized. Lineage: Eukaryota; Metazoa; Chordata; Actinopteri; Batrachoidiformes; Batrachoididae. The record is from RefSeq and is a predicted model, not a curated record. The transcript is spliced from 3 exons.